CUGAUCAAAACAUCGAGGCAGCUGUAGGUUCCUUCCACAAGUGACUGAAUGCUGAGACGUGAGACCAGAUACAAUCAGGGCUGACAGGAGACAGAGGAGAGAAGGAUGAAGGAGGUGAUGUGAGAACUGCAAUCUGUCUAGGACAUCCCUGCAAAGAAACUAUAAGGGGAAGGUUUUGAGACUUGACAGGUUCAGAACUGUUGGGAUUACCUGUACAAUGAUGGAUGGUGCUAUACAGCAGCAGCACAGUAAUGUUUUGGCAGCCCAUUUGCCAAAUCUUGCAGGAGG
Molecule: long non-coding RNA, 288 nt
Organism: Manacus vitellinus (golden-collared manakin)
Lineage: Eukaryota; Metazoa; Chordata; Aves; Passeriformes; Pipridae
Source: Ensembl